RNAcentral lists this ribosomal RNA (550 nucleotides) under uncultured bacterium. RNAcentral describes it as "bacterial SSU rRNA". It matches the Rfam family "Bacterial small subunit ribosomal RNA", at positions 355 to 896 of the family's 1533-position model. The record is from RNAcentral.
UAGGGAAUCUUCGGCAAUGGACGGAAGUCUGACCGAGCAACGCCGCGUGAGUGAAGAAGGUUUUCGGAUCGUAAAGCUCUGUUGUAAGAGAAGAACGAGUGUGAGAGUGGAAAGUUCACACUGUGACGGUAACUUACCAGAAAGGGACGGCUAACUACGUGCCAGCAGCCGCGGUAAUACGUAGGUCCCGAGCGUUAUCCGGAUUUAUUGGGCGUAAAGCGAGCGCAGGCGGUUUGAUAAGUCUGAAGUUAAAGGCUGUGGCUCAACCAUAGUUCGCUUUGGAAACUGUCAAACUUGAGUGCAGAAGGGGAGAGUGGAAUUCCAUGUGUAGCGGUGAAAUGCGUAGAUAUAUGGAGGAACACCGGUGGCGAAAGCGGCUCUCUGGUCUGUAACUGACGCUGAGGCUCGAAAGCGUGGGGAGCGAACAGGAUUAGAUACCCUGGUAGUCCACGCCGUAAACGAUGAGUGCUAGGUGUUGGAUCCUUUCCGGGAUUCAGUGCCGCAGCUAACGCAUUAAGCACUCCGCCUGGGGAGUACGACCGCAAGGUUG